This 71-nucleotide transfer RNA is filed under the name Chromis margaritifer (bicolor chromis). RNAcentral's name for it is "tRNA-Val". It matches the Rfam family "tRNA". From Rfam's summary of the family: Transfer RNA (tRNA) molecules are approximately 80 nucleotides in length. Their secondary structure includes four short double-helical elements and three loops (D, anti-codon, and T loops). Further hydrogen bonds mediate the characteristic L-shaped molecular structure. tRNAs have two regions of fundamental functional importance: the anti-codon, which is responsible for specific mRNA codon recognition, and the 3' end, to which the tRNAs corresponding amino acid is attached (by aminoacyl-tRNA synthetases). tRNAs cope with the degeneracy of the genetic code in two manners: having more than one tRNA (with a specific anti-codon) for a particular amino acid; and 'wobble' base-pairing, i.e. permitting non-standard base-pairing at the 3rd anti-codon position. The record is from RNAcentral. Lineage: Eukaryota; Metazoa; Chordata; Actinopteri; Pomacentridae.
CAGGGUGUAGUCUAGUCGCAGGACAUUUCCCCUACAAUGAAAAGGCACCCGUUCAAAUCGGGUCACUCUGA